GACAAACGCUGGCGGCGUGCCUAAAACAUGCAAGUCGGACGGGCGCUCUUUGGGGCGUACCGUGGCGGACGGCUGAGUAACACGUGGGUGACCUACCGUUCAGUGGGGGAUAUUGGGUCGAAAGGCCUGGCAAUCCCGCAUGGGCUGCCUGGGGCGGCCUGGGCAGCAAAGCUCGCAGAGCGCUGGACGAGGGGCCCGCGGCCGAUUAGCUAGUUGGUGGGGUAAGGGCCUACCAAGGCGACGAUCGGUAGCUGGUCUGAGAGGAUGAGCAGCCAGA
Molecule: ribosomal RNA, 277 nt
Filed under: uncultured bacterium
Lineage: Bacteria
Description: partial 16S ribosomal RNA
Rfam family: Bacterial small subunit ribosomal RNA
Source: RNAcentral